GUCCACGCCCUAACGAUGUCAACUGGUUGUUGGGAAUUCACUUUCUCAGUAACGAAGCUAACGCGUGAAGUUGACCGCCUGGGGAGUACGGCCGCAAGGUUGAACUCAAGGAAUUGACGGGACCCGCACAAGCGGUGGAUGAUGUGGUUUAAUUAGAUGCAACGCGAAACCUUACCCACCUUUGACAUGUACGGAAUCCUUUAGAGAUAGAGGAGUGCUCGAAAGAGAGCCGUAACACAGGUGCUGCAUGGCUGUCGU
RNAcentral lists this ribosomal RNA (258 nucleotides) under uncultured bacterium. RNAcentral's name for it is "partial 16S ribosomal RNA". It matches the Rfam family "Bacterial small subunit ribosomal RNA", at positions 793 to 1055 of the family's 1533-position model. The record is from RNAcentral.